AGCAAAUUUCCUUCAGCAGAGAAAGGGAAAUUCUAAUAAAGGAAGGGGAACAGCUUUUAGGAACAGGCUUGUCCGUUUCCUGAGAGCAGGACUGAAAGUUUUCUGUUUUUUAUCUGCGGCACAACUUCAAAAUGUUUUCUGAGUGAGGGCUGCUGCUUAAUCACCGCCACACCUUUAUGCAUUUCCAGACGUGCUGCUUUUGGCCUUUAAAGCCCAAAUGGCUUGGGACUGGGUUACCUGUAGGACUGGUGCAAGGAUAGCCGCUAUCUAUACAGAGCACUAGGAUGGUUCCACAACCCUUCUGUAACUGUGCUGUAACCUAGAAAUGUCUGCCCUCUCUUUGAGAAACUUCAGAAUUGCCCCUUACUGAAGGGGACCAGAAGGAGACCACCUAACACACCAUUCUGUAUCCAACAGCGGAGGCCUCUGGAAGCUCACAGGCUGAUGCAUUAUGCAAUUGGCCAUUCCCUCACAUUUGUCCCAGUUCUGUUUUCAUUUUACUUCCAGCAUUGCAACAGUGGCAUCAGCUGCUUUAAGGAAGAAAAGAACGAAAAAGAUAUGCAUUGCCUGAGGCUAUGAGAUGAUCCUGAAGAUUUUUGUUGAGUACAGACUUUGGAAAGAGCAAUAUGGAUGCAAUGAUAUAUAAGCAAAGCAGUACCAAAGUUCUGGUGGUGUGCACUUUGGAUACAUCUGCAUGAAACUAUAGUUCAGUGUUAUGAGAGCAAGCCUAGGGCUCAUGCACUCUCCCCUCCCCUCUGGUGUGGCUUGUGAGGAGGCGAUCAAGCAUUUCUGCUUCUAUUUUUUAUUAACCACAGUAUCCUUAACUGGGGUCACUCUUAACUAUAGUUCUCCAGAGCAAGCCAGAUAAAUAAACCUGCGGUGUGCGCGUGUGUGCAAGCCAGAGACUUGCAAAGGCUUGGCCUCAUAAUGCUAAAUCAUGAUGCAAACACAGCCUAAAUGUAGAUGAACUAUUAACUGUGCAAUGCUAAGCAUGUUUUCUCAGAAGUAAGCAUAUUAAAUUCAAAUACACCCAGGUAAGCAGGGUUUAACGAUCCUUUUUUAUUUCUGUGAUCUCCUUUGGGAGAGGACAAUUGUCUGAAAAGCAGGAUAAAAAUAUUAAAAGGGAAUAAAUAAUAUUGUUUUGUCCUAUGAA
This is a long non-coding RNA of Podarcis raffonei (Aeolian wall lizard), 1153 nucleotides long. RefSeq lists it as uncharacterized. NCBI's taxonomy places the organism in Eukaryota, Metazoa, Chordata, Lepidosauria, Squamata, Lacertidae. The transcript has 2 exons. The record is from RefSeq and is a predicted model, not a curated record.